GACGAACGCUGGCGGCGUGCUUAACACAUGCAAGUCGAACGGAAAGGCCCUGCUUUUGUGGGGUGCUCGAGUGGCGAACGGGUGAGUAACACGUGAGUAACCUGCCCUUGACUUUGGGAUAACUUCAGGAAACUGGGGCUAAUACCGGAUAGGAGCUCCUGCUGCAUGGUGGGGGUUGGAAAGUUUCGGCGGUUGGGGAUGGACUCGCGGCUUAUCAGCUUGUUGGGGGGGUAGGGGCUUACCAAGGCUUUGACGGGUAGCCGGCCUGAGAGGGUGACCGGCCACAUUGGGACUGAGAUACGGACCAGACUCCUACGGGAGGCAGCAGUGGGGAGUAUUGCACAGUGGGCGGAAGCCUGAUGCAGCAACGCCGCGUGCGUGAUGACGGCCUUCGGGUUGUAAACCACUUUGGCAUGUGACGAGGCGUGCGUGACGGUAAUGGGUCAAGAAGCACCGGCUAACUACGUG
This 468-nucleotide ribosomal RNA is filed under the name uncultured bacterium. RNAcentral describes it as "partial 16S ribosomal RNA". It matches the Rfam family "Bacterial small subunit ribosomal RNA", at positions 28 to 507 of the family's 1533-position model. The record is from RNAcentral.